GGCAUCUUGUAAUGCUCACUUGCUCCUGGGAAAACAAGAGCCACGUAUUAUAUCUUAAGAAACCUACAUAAGUCAUUGCCUCAUCCGCUUCCCUCUUCCCCUCUCUCUCUCACUCAAUCUGCAAGUGCCAAGUUUGAUUCGUUCAUUUGAAGAAGAUUGUUAGGUGGGUUUGAGUUGCAGAAGAAACAAAUGGAGAAAAAACAAGUUGGGGAGCUUGUAUCGGUGACGUUCACAUGGAAGAUUGAGAAAUUCUCUAGGUUGAGAUCCCAGAAACAUUACUCCGAUGGUUUUAAAGUCGGUGACUUUGAAUGGCAAAUUGUCGUAUAUCCGAAGGGCAGCAGCGGAAUCCCUGGAACGCAAGACCUGUCGAUAUAUUUGAAAGUUGCAGAUGCUUCAGCAUUACCAUCUGGGUGGAGUAGAUAUGCCCAUUUCACCUUGACUGUCGUCAACCAAGUCAAAUAUGAUAAGUCCAUAACAGUUGAAACUAAACAUGUGUUCUGCGCAAGUAAAAGAGAUUGGGGCUUCACAUCAUUCAUGCCUCUAAGUGAGCUUUGUGAUGUCGCCCAAGGGUUUAUUGUGAAUGAUACAUGUGUUCUUGAAGCUGAGGUUGCUGUCAGUCAGGUUGACUAUAUGGCCGAAGUCCAGGAAACUUGGUUUUGUCCUCCUAUAAAGCCCUUACACCAUGAAGAUGAAAGGCAAGGGUAUUCAGAUGUGGAAGCUGUUCAACUUACAGCGCCUAUUUCUGAACAGGUGCUUGCUUUUCAGGAUGCACCAAGUUCUGAACAAAAGCAAACAAAUGCUGAUUUUGAGCAAGUUCUAAUCUCUUCAGUAGCAGUUACGACACCUAGUUCUGCUCAAGUUCUGGCCUUGUGGGAUGGACCAAGUGAUGGACAAGUUUGGACUGGGGGUGACGAUAGCCCUGUCGGAUCUCCGAUAGGCAAGGAACAUGGGCAAAAAACCUCUGCCCCAGUUGGCGAGCUCAUGGAUUUCAGGGGUUUAGGGAAAAUAGACAAAGCUUUUGUUCCAUUCCUAGAGGAAGUCUGUUUGUUGCAUCCUUCAUUGAUCGAGUGCCAAAGGAAGAGGAGUCCUAUGUUUACUGAAUGGGCAUUCACAGCUUUGGGUAGACUCCUGCAUUUUCUAAAGACUAACAAGGGUACAGAUAUGAACGAGGAUGCUUGUGAGCACCUUCGACUUUUAUGGGAGGAGCUUGAGUCCUUCAGAUUUGACUUGGCUUGGUUGGAGCCUCAUGUUCAAUCCGCAUUGGGUAUGAAGAAGUUUGUGGACAGGGAACUAGAGGUAAGAGAGCUGAGAAAUAAUGUGGAUGCUUUGGAGAAUGAAGUCAAGAGGUUGAAGGCUAGGCUAAAUUUGGCAGAGUUAGAUUUUGAGGAUGCGAAAAGAGACAUGGGAGAGGCCGAAGAAAGCUUUGUUGAAAUAAAUAUGGAUAGCGAGCUUGGUUAUGGUGGGAGGCAUUAGCCGUACUGCUUCUCCCUUCGAUGUGAAAACGAUAUGCAACGUAUAUAUGUAUUACAAGCAAAACUCCCUUGUUAAGGGUGAUCCUGUUUUUAAGCCACGGUGAGGGAGAACCCCCUCCAUUGCAAUAUUUGUUAUGAACCAAACCCCCUCCAUCUGAACAAUAUCAAAAUCCCUAUUGUGGGGAGCUCCAAUACUAUCGAGCAACCACUUGUCAACCGGCAUCAUAAUGUUUUUUAUGUCGGACGGCCAGGUUCGGGGAGUAGACAGCGGUGAUCGCUGAACUGAGCAGAUUGGAAUUCAUCAGUGUCUAAAGUUGAAGUAACUGGGGAAGAGCUUUGGAGGAAGGGAACAUUGUAAAUAAUUGUAUCACAACGCUAGCUGUACUUGCAGUGUUUUUAUGCAAUCUUUUUUUUAAUA
Non-coding RNA from Malus domestica (apple), 1890 nucleotides. Lineage: Eukaryota; Viridiplantae; Streptophyta; Magnoliopsida; Rosales; Rosaceae. The record is from RefSeq and is a predicted model, not a curated record.